RNAcentral lists this long non-coding RNA (273 nucleotides) under Capsicum annuum. RNAcentral's name for it is "long non-coding RNA (CANN_LNC014463)". The record is from RNAcentral. Lineage: Eukaryota; Viridiplantae; Streptophyta; Magnoliopsida; Solanales; Solanaceae.
GGCUUCAAAUGCUCAAACAAUGGAUAAUAAUGCCAUCAAUCUCAUUUUGGCUCGCCUUGAAACUAUGUCCCGAGAUAUGGCUAGGUUGAAUGUGGGUCUUGAGAAAUUAGAUACGGAUGUGGCAUCAAUGAGUGGGAGAUUAGAACAUGUGGAAAGCCAAAGGAUGAACCUUCUACCCCUCAAAACAUUUUCCCAACUAAUACUCCCGAGACCUUGCACCAAAUGCAAUAUACACCAAUUGCCAUAAAUCAAACCAAUCUUUACUCCCGAAGC